UCUCAUGGUGCUGUAGGUGCAAGC
This 24-nucleotide non-coding RNA is filed under the name Cricetulus griseus (Chinese hamster). The record is from RNAcentral. Lineage: Eukaryota; Metazoa; Chordata; Mammalia; Rodentia; Cricetidae.